RNAcentral lists this unclassified non-coding RNA (489 nucleotides) under Borreliella burgdorferi (Lyme disease spirochete). RNAcentral describes it as "partial 16S-23S ribosomal RNA intergenic spacer". The stretch from base 126 to 199 matches the Rfam family "tRNA". The record is from RNAcentral. Lineage: Bacteria; Pseudomonadati; Spirochaetota; Spirochaetia; Spirochaetales; Borreliaceae.
UCUUUUCUUUUGAUAGGAGAGUUUUUAAAACCAGUGUUAUUUUUGUAAGUUUAAGAGAAGUUUGUGUAUUGAAUUUUUAAUAUUAAAGAGCUUUGUUAAACUUAGACUUAAGUUUAGGUCAUUUUGGGGGUUUAGCUCAGUUGGCUAGAGCAUCGGCUUUGCAAGCCGAGGGUCAAGGGUUCGAGUCCCUUAACCUCCAUUGGGCUUAUGUCCUAAAUUGUAAUUAAGUAUGUUUUUAAGCAACUUUAUUAAAGUAAUUGUUGGAAUGUGAAACAGAGGAAGUUAAAAUUUCUGGGUUAAGUUGAGAUCUGUUGAUAUUAAGAAGAAUCUCUAGAAGCAAAAGCAAGCUUUCGAUAAAAUCCGAAGUUGUUUCGCUAAAGUGCAAGGAUUAAACAGGAUUGUAUUUUCCAGUAGCCUAUUUUAUAAACGAUCUGCAUUUAGUAAAUAGUUUUUAGUUAGGAAAUAAUGUAUAUUGCUAAGUGUGAUGUC